RNAcentral lists this ribosomal RNA (332 nucleotides) under uncultured eukaryote. RNAcentral's name for it is "partial 18S ribosomal RNA". It matches the Rfam family "Eukaryotic small subunit ribosomal RNA", at positions 1470 to 1796 of the family's 1831-position model. The record is from RNAcentral.
CCCUUAGAUGUUCUGGGCUGCACACGUGCUACACUGGCAGGUUCAGCGAGCUUCAUGCCCUGAUCUGAAAGGAAUGGGAAAUCUUUUCAAAACCUGCCGUGCUUGGGAUAGAUGUUUGCAAUUAUUCAUCUUCAACGAGGAUUGCCUUGUAAGCGCACGUCAUCAGCGUGCAUUGAAUACGACCCUGUAUUCUGUACACACCGCCCGUCGCUCCUACCGAUUGAAGUUUUCGGUGAGUUGACAGGAGGAUUUUUUUGAAACUGGUUCGCCAGUGGAUUUUAGAUCCAAAUGCCAACGAAUCGAUGGCUUUAGAGGAAGUAAAAGUCGUAACA